RNAcentral lists this ribosomal RNA (454 nucleotides) under uncultured Prevotella sp. RNAcentral describes it as "partial 16S ribosomal RNA". It matches the Rfam family "Bacterial small subunit ribosomal RNA", at positions 341 to 792 of the family's 1533-position model. The record is from RNAcentral. Lineage: Bacteria; Pseudomonadati; Bacteroidota; Bacteroidia; Bacteroidales; Prevotellaceae.
ACGGGAGGCAGCAGUGAGGAAUAUUGGUCAAUGGGCGGAAGCCUGAACCAGCCAAGUAGCGUGCAGGAUGACGGCCCUAUGGGUUGUAAACUGCUUUUGUGCGGGAAUAAAGUGACCUACGUGUAGGUUUUUGCAUGUACCGUAAGAAUAAGGACCGGCUAAUUCCGUGCCAGCAGCCGCGGUAAUACGGAAGGUCCGGGCGUUAUCCGGAUUUAUUGGGUUUAAAGGGAGCGUAGGCCGUGCUUUAAGCGUGUUGUGAAAUGUAGGCGCCCAACGUCUGCACUGCAGCGCGAACUGGAGCACUUGAGUACGCAGGAAGUAGGCGGAAUUCGUCGUGUAGCGGUGAAAUGCUUAGAUAUGACGAAGAACUCCGAUUGCGAAGGCAGCUUGCUGGUGUGCGAUUGACGCUGAGGCUCGAAAGUGCGGGAAUCAAACAGGAUUAGAUACCCUGGUA